UACGUAGGGCGCGAGCGUUGUCCGGAUUUAUUGGGCGUAAAGAGCUCGUAGGCGGCUCAUCGCGUCUGCCGUGAAAACCCGCAGCUCAACUGCGGGCUUGCGGUUGAUACGGGUGGGCUGGAGUUCGGUAGGGGAGACUGGAAUUCCUGGUGUAGCGGUGAAAUGCGCAGAUAUCAGGAGGAACACCGGUGGCGAAGGCGGGUCUCUGGGCCGAUACUGACGCUGAGGAGCGAAAGCGUGGGGAGCGAACAGG
This 253-nucleotide ribosomal RNA is filed under the name uncultured bacterium. RNAcentral's name for it is "partial 16S ribosomal RNA". It matches the Rfam family "Bacterial small subunit ribosomal RNA", at positions 524 to 776 of the family's 1533-position model. The record is from RNAcentral.